This 492-nucleotide ribosomal RNA is filed under the name uncultured bacterium. RNAcentral's name for it is "partial 16S ribosomal RNA". It matches the Rfam family "Bacterial small subunit ribosomal RNA", at positions 28 to 507 of the family's 1533-position model. The record is from RNAcentral.
AGUGAACGCUGGCGGUAGGCCUAACACAUGCCAGUCGAACGGCAGCACAGUAAUAGCUUACGCUUACGGGUGGCGGGUGGCGUACGUGUGAGGAGUGUAACCGGCUCUACUCUUUGGUGGGGGAUCACGUAGGGAAACCUACUCUAAUACAGCAGACCACCUACGGGGGAAAGCAUGGGAUCGUCGCGCCUUGCGCGGAUGGAUGCGCCGCUUUCGGAUUGGCUGGUGGGGGGGGUAAAUACCCACCAAGGCGACGAUCCGUAGCUGGUCUGAGAGGAGGGUCGGCCACACUGGAACGGAGCCACGGUCCAUACUCCUACGGGAGGCAGCAGUGGGGAAUGUUGGACAAUGGGCGCAAGCCUGAUCCAGUCAUACCGCGUGGGUGAAGGAGGCCUUGGGGUUGUAAAGCCCUUUUGUUGGGAAAGAACAGCAGCCGGUUGAUACGCAGCUGUUGUGACGGUAACGAAAGAAUAAGCACCGGCUAACUUCGUG